UGCGUAGGCGGACUAAUAAGCCAGUGGUGAAAUCUUUCGGCUCAACCGAGAAACUGCCAUUGAUACUGUUAGUCUUGAGUUCGGUUGAGGUAGGCGGAAUGUGUAAUGUAGCGGUGAAAUGCUUAGAUAUUACACAGAACACCAAUUGCGUAGGCAGCUUACUAGACCGACACUGACGCUGAGGCACGAAAGCGUGGGGAGCGAACAGGAUUAGAUACCCUGGUAGUCC
This 229-nucleotide ribosomal RNA is filed under the name uncultured bacterium. RNAcentral describes it as "partial 16S ribosomal RNA". It matches the Rfam family "Bacterial small subunit ribosomal RNA", at positions 568 to 796 of the family's 1533-position model. The record is from RNAcentral.